AGUGAACGCUGGCGGUAGGCCUAACACAUGCAAGUCGAACGGCAGCACAGUAAGAGCUUGCUCUUACGGGUGGCGAGUGGCGGACGGGUGGGGAAUACAUCGGAAUCUACUUUUUCGUGGGGGAUAACGUAGGGAAACUUACGCUAAUACCGCAUAUGACCUACGGGAGAAAGCAGGACCUCUUCGGACCUUGCUCGAUUGAAUGAGCCGAUGUCGGAUUAGCUAGUUGGCGGGGUAAAGGCCCACCAAGGCGACGAUCCGUAGCUGGUCUGAGAGGAUGAUCAGCCACACUGGAGCUGAGACACGGUCCAGACUCCUACGGGAGGCAGCAGUGGGGAAUAUUGGGCAAUGGGCGCAAGCCUGAUCGAGCCAUACCGCGUGGGUGAAGAAGGCCUUCGGGUUGUAAAGCCCUUUUGUUGGGAAAGAAAAGCCGCAGGUUCAUACCCUGCUGUUCUGACGGUGCCCAACGAAUAAGCCAGGGCUAACUUCGUG
RNAcentral lists this ribosomal RNA (492 nucleotides) under uncultured bacterium. RNAcentral describes it as "partial 16S ribosomal RNA". It matches the Rfam family "Bacterial small subunit ribosomal RNA", at positions 29 to 507 of the family's 1533-position model. The record is from RNAcentral.